Oncorhynchus keta (chum salmon) is the source of this 2029-nucleotide RNA transcript. It is a transcript of the gene named prenylated Rab acceptor protein 1-like, with no coding region annotated. Lineage: Eukaryota; Metazoa; Chordata; Actinopteri; Salmoniformes; Salmonidae. The transcript is spliced from 8 exons. The record is from RefSeq and is a predicted model, not a curated record.
UUAAUUUGAAAGCCAUUAUUUAUUUCUUUACCGGAAGUUAGACCCAGCGUCCAAUUUCGUUCCACGGCACAUCCGCUGAGCAACAGCACAGCACAGCAGAAGUACAUUUUUGUGUUUUUUGUAUUUCUGAGCACAGCAGUAAACAUUUUAAUAAACUCCUACGUCUUUCCUACAUCGGCAUCAGUUACUCUAAUGACAUCUGGUGUCCCAAAGGGUGAGAACUGCCUUGUAGACAUGGACUCCAAGGCAGGGGAUCUCUUCAGUGCUGAGCCAGCCGACGCUGCUGGAUCCGGAGGUGUCGUGGGAAACCUACCACUAAAGGAACUAGAUGGUUUACCACCCUGGCUUUCUGCCUUGCCUCACAGGCUGUGGCUGCCCAAAGGCCUCUCGGCCAGUGUGGCCAAGGAGUGGUUUGAUCGUCGCCGUGCGUCAAUCCGUCCCUGGGCUGGUUUCGUGGAUCAUAGGAAGUUCACCAAGCCCCGCAACUUUGGUGAACUGUGCCAGAGGGUGGUGCGCAAUUUUGACACCUACAACAGCAACUACACCUUCAUCUUCCUCGGCCUCAUCCUCUACUGCAUUGUCAGCUCUCCCAUGCUGCUGGUUGCUUUGGCAGUGUUUGUUGGUGCCUUCUACAUCAUCCACCUCAAGUCCCUGGAGUCUAAACUGGUCGUCUUUGGAAAAGAGGUGACCGGACCUCACCAAUUGGGUCUGGCUGGGGCGGUCUCUUUACCUGUGUUCUGGUUGGCUGGUGCAGGAGCUGCAGUGUUUUGGGUCCUGGGGUGAAGUUGAUCGUUUCAUAACGAGGAAUCACUUUUGCGAGGCACACUGUGGAGAAAAGAAGAAUGAAUGCCUUCCAAACGGUCAAAACCAUUCGACUUUGAGAUGGGGGUGAUAUCCAAAGUUGAGCGACGAUGUUUGUGAUUGGCUCUCACGCUGCCUUCCGAGAGCUGGAGGGAGGAUCGGAAAUGGAGGAGCUCUUCGUGGAGCCUGUGUGAAGGCAUAGCGAUAGAGGGAUCUUUAUAUCUGUGCCAUUAUAGCAUCUGUGAGCAUUGGCAGUGCCAUUGAGGCUACAACUAUUAGGGAAUCCCCACACGGGUGAUUACUUUAAAAUGGCAGAAGCAUGGUGGAAGCCCUCAAUGGUGCUGCCCAUGCUAAAGCAGCCUUUUGGCCACUAGAGGCCUCUAUCUUUCUCUGUGUGAACCCUCAACACUCACCUUUGACCUUUCAUAAUAUAACACAGAAUGCACCUUCUCUUGCCUCUGAAGUGAUUUGCUGUUACUGACCCUCUACAACUCUUUUAAAACCACAAUAAUACUCGAUUUAGACAUAUAUAUGGAUUGACUGUCAUACACACAGAGUGACUGAGAUGUUCAUAUACCUCAGCUCAUACUUCAUACUGUAUGUCUUUUCCAAAUGUGACUGAUACCUCUCGAUUUGUGUUUAAUACACAUUUCUUCCCGUGAAGUAUCAGUCAGCCCUUUGUUUAAUGCCUCUGUACCUUCUGUUUAAUGUUACCUUGUGGAUAUCUAAUAAUAAAUCAUGUCAACUCAAGACCUGAAAUGUUAAAAAGAGCUUUAACAUCGCAUUAAAAAUAAAAACAACUAUAUAGCUGAUGUUUAAUUAGUCCACAAUGAGCACAUGAGCAACUGGAUGAGGCAAGUGGCAUCAAAUUGCCAACGCUUCUCUGACUGGGGAAGAAGUGCCAUUUGCAGCUUUACAAUGUAUUUAUCCAACUAGGAGAAAUGGUUCUUUUAGACAAAUUGCAUUUAUUUUAAAGCAAUGCUUAGUGGAUAUCCCAGAUACCUAAUGGUGAUAAAGCAUCAUGUUUAAAUCCUACUGUUAGUUGUAUGCAGGCAUGUGGUGCAGUGUUGUUGGGUCAUUUUUCAUAAUUGAUUAGCUCUGCUUUAUUACUUUGAGAAUUUAAAUGUCAAUAUUAUUAUUUUUUAAUAUAUGUCAUACUUGUCAUGCUAUUUUUUUAAACAUUUUUUUAAUGACAAUUGGGAAGUGCAAUAAACAAUCCUACCCGUAA